Eriocheir sinensis (Chinese mitten crab) is the source of this 415-nucleotide long non-coding RNA. RefSeq lists it as uncharacterized. NCBI's taxonomy places the organism in Eukaryota, Metazoa, Arthropoda, Malacostraca, Decapoda, Varunidae. The transcript has 3 exons. The record is from RefSeq and is a predicted model, not a curated record.
UAUCAAGGCCGUGCUGGAAAGGCUCAGUGACGACUCAGACACGUCAAAUAUCUUCCCUCAGAGGCACUGACAGGCUUCUACAGUGGUAGGGCUGAAGCGACACAUCCUGGCGGGGGGCACCUUUGACAGCCCAGAGCACACCUCCGCCCCCGCCAGCAACCUCAUCACCCGACUGCUAGUUCAGGACCCAGCGCAGUGGUCCAACCCAGAAGAGAUUGCUGCCACGAGUACCUGGCUAGUGCCCCCCCUGACCUUCAGUGACGACCCCGACCCCAUGGAGGCUCUUCAAGGUGGUGGAGACCCUGUUGCACGUUCAUCUGGUGGUGGAGUUCCCUGGUGGCGGCGGCGGCGAGCUGUUCAACACCAUUACCACUGAGGGACGCAUGACGGAGGCACGGGCAGCGGCAGUCUUCAC